CAAAAAUGGAACAAAAGUAAAGACAUGUUGCAAACACAACACAGCUCUGCUACAACUUAGAUACUUUUCCACUAGCCAGUGCAGAAUUGCAAGGAAAGCCGCCAUAUUGCAGGAUGAGGUCCAGUAGUGAUUGGAUGCCCCUGUUGACAUUAUAAUUUGCAAUGGAGUUGGUCGUCUGGAGUGUCUGGUCGACUAGGAGGGAUACGGCCCGGAGGAGCCCUCGUGGUUGAAGGCGGGGGAUGUCCUGCACCCAUUGCUCACAGCCGACUUUCACCAGCAACCUACAUCUCCCAGA
Tachysurus fulvidraco (yellow catfish) is the source of this 295-nucleotide long non-coding RNA. RefSeq lists it as uncharacterized. The transcript has 3 exons. Lineage: Eukaryota; Metazoa; Chordata; Actinopteri; Siluriformes; Bagridae. The record is from RefSeq and is a predicted model, not a curated record.